RNAcentral lists this ribosomal RNA (508 nucleotides) under Bittium lactescens. RNAcentral describes it as "partial 16S ribosomal RNA". It matches the Rfam family "Bacterial large subunit ribosomal RNA", at positions 1819 to 2600 of the family's 2925-position model. The record is from RNAcentral. Lineage: Eukaryota; Metazoa; Mollusca; Gastropoda; Cerithiidae.
GGCUCUUUGUUAUAUAUAAGAUAUAGAGUCGGGCCUGCCCAGUGAAGUUUUUAACGGCCGCGGUACCCUGACCGUGCAAAGGUAGCAUAAUCAUUUGCCUUAUAAUUGAAGGCUAGUAUGAAUGGUUUGACGAAGGUAUAACUGUCUCCCCCUUAAUAAUUAGAAUUUGACCUAUCGGUGAAGAGGCCGGUGUUAUGUUAAAGGACGAGAAGACCCUAUCGAGCUUUAAAGAAAAACAGAAUACUUUAUUUGUCCAAUCUAUACUGUUAUAUACUUUUUGGUUGGGGCGACCGGGGAACAUAUGAAACUUCCUCUCACAAAAUAAAAUUGAUCUAUUAUAUGAUCCGGCAAAGCUGAUUAAAAGAAUUAGUUACCGUAGGGAUAACAGCAUAAUCCUUUUUGAGAGCCCGAAUCGAAAAAGGGGGUUAUGACCUCGAUGUUGGACUAGGAUAUCCUAAAGGUGCAGAAGCCUUAGAUGGUUAGUCUGUUCGACUAUUAAAAUCCUACG